UACAGAGGUCUCAAGCGUUGUUCGGAUUCAUUGGGCGUAAAGGGUGCGUAGGCGGCGCGGUAAGUCGGGUGUGAAAUCUCGGGGCUUAACUCCGAAACUGCAUUCGAUACUGCCGUGCUUGAGGACUGGAGAGGAGACUGGAAUUUACGGUGUAGCGGUGAAAUGCGUAGAUAUCGUAAGGAAGACCAGUGGCGAAGGCGGGUCUCUGGACAGUUCCUGACGCUGAGGCACGAAGGCCAGGGGAGCGAACGGG
Molecule: ribosomal RNA, 253 nt
Filed under: uncultured bacterium
Lineage: Bacteria
Description: partial 16S ribosomal RNA
Rfam family: Bacterial small subunit ribosomal RNA
Source: RNAcentral